RNAcentral lists this ribosomal RNA (468 nucleotides) under uncultured bacterium. RNAcentral describes it as "partial 16S ribosomal RNA". It matches the Rfam family "Bacterial small subunit ribosomal RNA", at positions 28 to 507 of the family's 1533-position model. The record is from RNAcentral.
GACGAACGCUGGCGGCGUGCUUAACACAUGCAAGUCGAACGGAAAGGCCCUGCUUUUGUGGGGGGCUCGAGUGGCGAACGGGUGAGUAACACGUGAGUAACCUGCCCUUGACUUUGGGAUAACUUCAGGAAACUGGGGCUAAUACCGGAUAGGAGCUCCUGCUGCAUGGUGGGGGUUGGAAAGUUUCGGCGGUUGGGGCUGGACUCGCGGCUUAUCAGCUUGGUGGUGGGGUAGUGGCUUACCAAGGCUUUGACGGGUAGCCGGCCUGAGAGGGUGACCGGCCACAUUGGGACUGAGAGACGGCCCAGACUCCUACGUGAGGCAGCAGUGGGGAAUAUUGCACAAUGGGCGGAAGCCUGAUGCAGCAACGCCGCGGGCGGGAUGAAGGCCUUCGGGUUGUAAACCGCUUUCGCCUGUGACGAAGCGUGAGUGACGGUAAUGGGUAAAGAAGCACCGGCUAACUACGUG